RNAcentral lists this long non-coding RNA (221 nucleotides) under Elaeis guineensis (African oil palm). RNAcentral's name for it is "long non-coding RNA (EGUI_LNC002166)". The record is from RNAcentral. Lineage: Eukaryota; Viridiplantae; Streptophyta; Magnoliopsida; Arecales; Arecaceae.
AACGUAAAACCGACUAAAUUGAUCAUGCCGACUUAAUCCACUGCCGACGAUUUAACUCAGGAUUCAACCAACGAUAUAAGACUAAGUCACGUUUGGACCAACUAAGUUCGACAUGCUGUCAAUAUCUAGCUGAACACUUACUCGGAUCUUUCCCGACUAUCUCGAUCCCGAGGUUAUAGGCGCUAAAUGAUAGUUACCCAACAUAGGUGUUAAUCCCCCAU